Molecule: ribosomal RNA, 433 nt
Filed under: uncultured bacterium
Lineage: Bacteria
Description: partial 16S ribosomal RNA
Rfam family: Bacterial small subunit ribosomal RNA
Source: RNAcentral
AACGAACGCUGGCGGCAUGCCUAACACAUGCAAGUCGAACGAAACCAUCGGGUCUAGUGGCGCCUGGGUGCGUCGCGCGUGGGAACAUGCACUUAGGUUUGGCAUAACUAUCCGAAAGGGGUGCUAAUACCGGACCAUGUCUUCGGACCAAAGAUUUAUCGCAUUUGGAUGGGCAAGAGUUGGAUUCGAUUGUUCUUAGGGUAAAAGCUUACCACGGCGCCGAUCAAUAACUGGUCUCAGAGGAUGAUCAGCAACACUUGGACUGGGACCCGGCCGGGACUCUUACGGGAGGCGGGAGUGGGGAAUAGUGCACAAUGGGCGGAGUCCUGAUGCACCAAGGCUGCGUGAGCUAUGUAGUCCUGAGGGUAGUAAAGCGCAUUUACCCGGGAUGGUAAUGACGGUACCUGGAGAAUAAGCCCCGGCUAACUCCGUG